This is a long non-coding RNA of Callorhinus ursinus (northern fur seal), 251 nucleotides long. RefSeq lists it as uncharacterized. The record is from RefSeq and is a predicted model, not a curated record. Lineage: Eukaryota; Metazoa; Chordata; Mammalia; Carnivora; Otariidae.
GUUGCUCUUAAAGGGGAACCGGGGCUUGCGGUUCUCAGGAGGGAUGAACCUAUGAGCAAAGGCCUCCUGAAGAGACUGUGCAAGAAGCUUGUGCAGAAAGAAGAAAGAAGAUACCUAAAAGACAUAGGUGAAAAAGCAAGCACAGAAAGGACCAGGUGUGCAAUAGAGCACUAACUAGAAGAGAAGGUUCAGCACUGCAACUAUAUGACGCAUCUGGGGAACUAUCAUAAUAGAAAACUCAUAAGCCUGAA